UUGCUUCAGUAGCACAUACACUAAAAUUGAAACAAUACAAAGAAGAUUAGCAUGGCCUCUGUGUAAGGAUGACAUGCAAAUUUGUGAAGCAUUCCAUAUGUUU
Molecule: small nuclear RNA, 103 nt
Organism: Symphalangus syndactylus (siamang)
Lineage: Eukaryota; Metazoa; Chordata; Mammalia; Primates; Hylobatidae
Source: RefSeq, a predicted model, not a curated record